AGCAAUUACAAAGCGAAACUGCGAAUGGCUCAUUAUAUAAGUUAUCGUUUAUUUGAUAGUACCUUACUACAUGGAUAACCGUGGUAAUUCUAGAGCUAAUACAUGCUGAAAAUCCCGACUUCGGAAGGGAUGUAUUUAUUAGAUACAAAACCAAUGCCCUUCGGGGCUCUCUUGGUGAUUCAUGAUAACUUCUCGAAUCGCACGGCCCCGCGCCGGCGAUGGUUCAUUCAAAUUUCUUCCCUAUCAACUUUCGAUGCUACGGUAUUGUCCUAGCAUGGUUGCAACGGGUGACGGAGGGUUAGGGCUCGACCCCGGAGAAGGAGCCUGAGAAACGGCUACUACAUCCAAGGAAGGCAGCAGGCGCGCAAAUUACCCAAUCCCGACUCGGGGAGGUAGUGACGAUAAAUACCGAUACAGGGCUCUUUUGGGUCCUGUAAUUGGAAUGAGUACAAUUCAAAUCCCUUAACGAGGAACAAUUGGAGGGCAAGUCUGGUGCCAGCAGCCGCGGUAAUUCCAGCUCCAAUAGCGUAUAUUAAAGUUGUUGUGGUUAAAAAGCUCGUAGUAGAAGCUCGGGCUCCGGCCGACCGGUCCGCCUCACCGCGUGCACUGGUUCGGCCGGGCCUUCACCUUCUGCGGAACCGCAUCCCCUUCACUGGGGGUGUCGGGGAAACAGGACGUUUACUGUGAAAAAAUUAGAGUGCUCCAGGCAGGCCUAUGCUCGAAUAGAUUAGCAUGGAAUAAUGGAAUAGGACGUGUGGUCUUAUUUCGUUGGUUUCUAGGACCGCCGUAAUGAUUAAUAGGGACAGUCGGGGGCAUCAGUAUUCAAUCGUCAGAGGUGAAAUUCUUGGAUCGAUUGAAGACUAACUACUGCGAAAGCAUUUGCCAAGGAUGUUUUCAUUUAUCAGGAACGAAAGUUAGGGGAUCGAAGACGAUCAGAUACCGUCGUAGUCUUAACCAUAAACUAUGCCGACUAGGGAUCGGACGGUGUUAUUUCUUGACCCGUUCGGCACCUUACGAGAAAUCAAAGUGCUUGGGCUCCAGGGG
This 1044-nucleotide ribosomal RNA is filed under the name Plectosphaerella cucumerina. RNAcentral describes it as "SSU rRNA". It matches the Rfam family "Eukaryotic small subunit ribosomal RNA", at positions 68 to 1120 of the family's 1831-position model. Lineage: Eukaryota; Fungi; Ascomycota; Sordariomycetes; Glomerellales; Plectosphaerellaceae. The record is from RNAcentral.